GCCCAGAUAGCUCAGUUGGUAGAGCAGGGGAUUGAAAAUCCCCGUGUCGGCGGUUCGAUUCCGUCUCUGGGCACCA
Molecule: transfer RNA, 76 nt
Filed under: Aeromonas caviae
Lineage: Bacteria; Pseudomonadati; Pseudomonadota; Gammaproteobacteria; Aeromonadales; Aeromonadaceae
Also listed under: 10 other names
Description: tRNA-Phe
Rfam family: tRNA
About the family: Transfer RNA (tRNA) molecules are approximately 80 nucleotides in length. Their secondary structure includes four short double-helical elements and three loops (D, anti-codon, and T loops).
Source: RNAcentral